CCUGUGUGGCACUCAGAUGUAUCAGAAGCUUUCGUCAGUGGAGCAGAAUGUUUGGCACCCAAGGUUAUCACCAGCUAUAUGUCUUUCUGGGAUUGCCCAGGAACAGAUGCUGCAGUGGAGCAUGCACUGAAUGGAAGCACGCAUCUCCUCUUGGCUGGUAGUAUCCAGGAACAGAUUUAUCUGUGGGUCUGAACACACCAAAGUGAACCUUGUCCCUGUGGGUUGGGGUGCAAGAGUGAGUCUGCAGUGUUGGUGGCACCGAAGGAAUCCUUACAGAAGCUUCAGAUGGACAAACUGAGAUCAGCUCUGAACUAUGACUAUGAACACGAUAAAGUGAUAAUGUAAGAUCUGCG
This is a long non-coding RNA of Lepidothrix coronata (blue-crowned manakin), 353 nucleotides long. RefSeq lists it as uncharacterized. The record is from RefSeq and is a predicted model, not a curated record. The transcript has 3 exons. NCBI's taxonomy places the organism in Eukaryota, Metazoa, Chordata, Aves, Passeriformes, Pipridae.